This 485-nucleotide ribosomal RNA is filed under the name uncultured bacterium. RNAcentral describes it as "partial 16S ribosomal RNA". It matches the Rfam family "Bacterial small subunit ribosomal RNA", at positions 355 to 828 of the family's 1533-position model. The record is from RNAcentral.
UGGGGAAUAUUGCACAAUGGGCGCAAGCCUGAUGCAGCCAUGCCGCGUGUGUGAAGAAGGCCUUCGGGUUGUAAAGCACUUUCAGCGAGGAGGAAGGUGGUGAGCUUAAUACGCUCAUCAAUUGACGUUACUCGCAGAAGAAGCACCGGCUAACUCCGUGCCAGCAGCCGCGGUAAUACGGAGGGUGCAAGCGUUAAUCGGAAUUACUGGGCGUAAAGCGCACGCAGGCGGUUUGUUAAGUCAGAUGUGAAAAUCCCCGGGCUCAACCUGGGAACUGCAUUUGAAACUGGCAAGCUAGAGUCUCGUAGAGGGGGGUAGAAUUUCCAGGUGUAGCGGUGAAAUGCGUAGAGAUCUGGAGGAAUACCGGUGGCGAAGGCGGCCCCCCUGGACGAAGACUGACGCUCAGGUGCGAAAGCGUGGGGCAGCAAACAGGAUUAGAUACCCUGGUAGUCCACGCUGUAAACGAUGUCGAUUUGGAGGUUGUG